ACUAUUUUGGCAGAUUAGUGUGAUAAAUUUAGAAUUUAUUUAUGUAAUUAUUAUUACAAAUAGUA
This 65-nucleotide transfer RNA is filed under the name Appolonius crassus. RNAcentral's name for it is "tRNA-Leu". The record is from RNAcentral. Lineage: Eukaryota; Metazoa; Arthropoda; Insecta; Hemiptera; Rhyparochromidae.